GACGAACGCUGGCGGCGUGCUUAACACAUGCAAGUCGAACGGAAAGGCCCUGCUUUUGUGGGGUGCUCGAGUGGCGAACGGGUGAGUAACACGUGAGUAUCCUCCCCUUGACUUUGGGAUAACUUCAGGAAACUGGGGCUAAUAUCGGAUAUGAGCUCCUGCUGCAUGUUGUGGGUUGGAAAGUUUCGGCGGUUGGGGCUGGACUCGCGGCUUAUCAGCUUGUUGGUGGGGUAGUGGCUUACCAAGGCUUUGACGGGUAGCCGGCCUGAGAGGGUGACCGGGCACAUGGGGACUGAGAGAGGGACCAGAAGGGUAUGGGAGGCAGCAGGGGGGAAUAUGGCACAAUGGGCGGAAGCCAGAUGCAGAAGCGCCGCGUGCGGGAUGACGGGCUUCGGGGGGUAAACAGAUGUCGAAUGAGACGAAGAGGGAGUGACGGUAAUGGGUAAAGAAGCACCGGCUAACUACGUG
RNAcentral lists this ribosomal RNA (468 nucleotides) under uncultured bacterium. Its description in RNAcentral is "partial 16S ribosomal RNA". It matches the Rfam family "Bacterial small subunit ribosomal RNA", at positions 28 to 507 of the family's 1533-position model. The record is from RNAcentral.